RNAcentral lists this ribosomal RNA (441 nucleotides) under uncultured bacterium. Its description in RNAcentral is "bacterial SSU rRNA". It matches the Rfam family "Bacterial small subunit ribosomal RNA", at positions 340 to 773 of the family's 1533-position model. The record is from RNAcentral.
UACGGAAGGCAGCAGUGGGGAAUAUUGCACAAUGGGCGCAAGCCUGAUGCAGCCAUGCCGCGUGUAUGAAAAAGGCCUUCGGGUUGUAAAGUACUUUUCAGUCGUGAGGAAGGUGUUAAGGUUAAUAACCUUAGCAAUUGACGUUAGCGACAGAAGAAGCACCGGCUAACUCCGUGCCAGCAGCCGCGGUAAUACGGAGGGUGCGAGCGUUAAUCGGAAUUACUGGGCGUAAAGGGCACGCAGGCGGUUAAUUAAGUUGGAUGUGAAAUCCCCGGGCUUAACCUGGGAAUGGCAUUCAAGACUGGUUAGCUAGAGUCUUGUAGAGGGGGUAGAAUUCCAUGUGUAGCGGUGAAAUGCGUAGAGAUGUGGAGGAAUACCGGUGGCGAAGGCGGCCCCUGGACAAAGGACUGACGCUCAUGUGCGAAAGCGUGGGGAGCAAAC